GAUUUUAUAUAAAAAAGAAAAGAAAAAACAAAAAAAACCCUUGAAAGCACAGAAGGAGCAGACUAAGGGCCGAGCCUCAUAAAAAACCUUUUCACUGAAAACCCAGUGGGAAAAACCGUGAAAAGGAAAAAGAGUACUCGUCUAAACACAAGACGAAAGUAGGGAAGAGCGGAAGGAGAUACAACUCCGAGAUUCAGAAAAUCAACGAAAAAAACAACUGAAACCCCUAAAGAAAACGUCCCCGAAAAACAGAGACAAAAACCAACGGAAUCCGACCAGUAGCGUCCCCGAGCCGAGCGCACCCAAACCCGGAAGGACUCUACCGACACUCCAUCCCUCACCAAACCAGGGCAGCACAAGCUCAACUCCAUCCACCGCUUCCAUCAGCGCAAGAACCAACUGAGCGUCAAGAGCACCCAUCUUAAUCCAAACGCUUGCCAAUUGUUCGAAGAAAAACCCAAACCAAGAUCUCCCCAAACACACGUCAACAAAACCAAGAAAAAACCGAACCAAACAACCACCCAUCAGCCCCAACUACCGUUUCUGACGCAGAUGGCUAUGCGAAGCCAUGUCAAGGCGAACCGCAGCCCUAAUCUCCUCAAUCUCGUGCGGCCACCACCCUUCCGUACGUUGUUGGUUAGCCAUUAAAUCUGCCGCCUUGUUUCCUUCUCUAAAGAUGUGAGUAACCUGCAGCGAGAAAGCAUCUAACAUCUUUAAAAUCCUAUUCCACGCCGCCUUAAAACGCCAAGGCACAUUCAAAGAACGAGAAUUAAGAAUGGAUAUGACGUAGUUGGAAUCGGCUUCAAUCCAAAGCUUGUGCCAACCACGAUUGUGAGCAAUUUGAAUCGCCGAGAUAACAGCCAGUAGUUCCGCUUCAAAGGCAAAACCCGAGCCACCUUUGAAGUGAAAACAACCA
Molecule: long non-coding RNA, 916 nt
Filed under: Salvia miltiorrhiza (redroot sage)
Lineage: Eukaryota; Viridiplantae; Streptophyta; Magnoliopsida; Lamiales; Lamiaceae
Description: long non-coding RNA (SMIL_LNC010816)
Source: RNAcentral